RNAcentral lists this ribosomal RNA (140 nucleotides) under uncultured eukaryote. RNAcentral's name for it is "partial 18S ribosomal RNA". It matches the Rfam family "Eukaryotic small subunit ribosomal RNA", at positions 1299 to 1458 of the family's 1831-position model. The record is from RNAcentral.
UGGUGGAGUGAUUUGUCCGGUUAAUUCCGUUAACGAACGAGACCUUAGCCUGCUAAAUAGUUACGUGUAGCUUCGGUUAUGCGGGCAACUUCUUAGAGGGACUUUGUGUGUCUAACGCAAGGAAGUUUGAGGCAAUAACA